GUAGUCUGCAACCCGACUACAUGAAGCUGGAAUCGCUAGUAAUCGCGAAUCAGGAUGUCGCGGUGAAUACGUUCCCGGGUCUUGUACACACCGCCCGUCACACCAUGGGAGUCGGAAAUGCCCGAAGUCAGUGACCCAACCGUAAGGAGGGAGCUGCCGAAGGUGGAGCCGGUAACUGGGGUGAAGUCGUAACAAGGUAAC
Molecule: ribosomal RNA, 201 nt
Filed under: uncultured bacterium
Lineage: Bacteria
Description: partial 16S ribosomal RNA
Rfam family: Bacterial small subunit ribosomal RNA
Source: RNAcentral